AGUGAACGCUGGCGGUAGGCCUAACACAUGCAAGUCGAACGGCAGCACAGUAAGAGCUUGCCCUUACGGGUGGCGAGUGGCGGACGGGUGAGGAAUACAUCGGAAUCUACUCUUUCGUGGGGGAUAACGUAGGGAAACUUACGCUAAUACCGCAUACGACCUACGGGUGAAAGCAGGGGAUCUUCGGACCUUUCGCGAUUGAAUGAGCCGAUGUCGGAUUAGCUAGUUGGCCGGGUAAAGGCCCACCAAGGCGACGAUCCGUAGCUGGUCUGAGAGGAUGAUCAGCCACACUGGAACUGAGACACGGUCCAGACUCCUACGGGAGGCAGCAGUGGGGAAUAUUGGACAAUGGGCGCAAGCCUGAUACAGCCAUACCGCGUGGGUGAAGAAGGCCUUCGGGUUGUAAAGCCCUUUUGUUGGGAAAGAAAAGCAGCAGGUUAAUACCCCGCUGUUCUGACGGUACCCAAAGAAUAAGCACCGGCUAACUUCGUG
This 492-nucleotide ribosomal RNA is filed under the name uncultured bacterium. RNAcentral's name for it is "partial 16S ribosomal RNA". It matches the Rfam family "Bacterial small subunit ribosomal RNA", at positions 29 to 507 of the family's 1533-position model. The record is from RNAcentral.